Molecule: ribosomal RNA, 303 nt
Filed under: uncultured bacterium
Lineage: Bacteria
Description: partial 16S ribosomal RNA
Rfam family: Bacterial small subunit ribosomal RNA
Source: RNAcentral
AGCAGUCGCCGCGGGAAUACGGAGGAUCCGAGCGUUAUCCGGAAUUAUUGGGUUUAAAGGGUGCGUAGGCGGAUAGAUAAGUCAGUGGUGAAAGACGGUGGCUCAACCAUCGCAGUGCCGUUGAUACUGUUUAUCUUGAAUAUGGAUGAGGUAGGCGGAAUGUGGCAAGUAGCGGUGAAAUGCAUAGAUAUGCCACAGAACACCGAUUGCGAAGGCAGCUUACCAAGGCAAAAUUGACGCUGAGGCACGAAAGCGUGGGGAUCGAACAGGAUUAGAUACCCCCGUAGUCCCUGUCUCUUAUAC